GGGGAAUAUUGGACAAUGGGCGCAAGCCUGAUCCAGCCAUGCCGCGUGAGUGAUGAAGGCCCUAGGGUUGUAAAGCUCUUUCAACGGUGAAGAUAAUGACGGUAACCGUAGAAGAAGCCCCGGCUAACUUCGUGCCAGCAGCCGCGGUAAUACGAAGGGGGCUAGCGUUGUUCGGAAUUACUGGGCGUAAAGCGCACGUAGGCGGAUUGGUCAGUUAGGGGUGAAAUCCCAGGGCUCAACCCUGGAACUGCCUUUAAUACUGCCGGUCUAGAGUCCGAGAGAGGUGAGUGGAAUUCCGAGUGUAGAGGUGAAAUUCGUAGAUAUUCGGAGGAACACCAGUGGCGAAGGCGGCUCACUGGCUCGGUACUGACGCUGAGGUGCGAAAGCGUGGGGGGCAAAC
This 400-nucleotide ribosomal RNA is filed under the name uncultured bacterium. RNAcentral describes it as "bacterial SSU rRNA". It matches the Rfam family "Bacterial small subunit ribosomal RNA", at positions 356 to 773 of the family's 1533-position model. The record is from RNAcentral.